This 377-nucleotide ribosomal RNA is filed under the name uncultured eukaryote. RNAcentral describes it as "partial 18S ribosomal RNA". It matches the Rfam family "Eukaryotic small subunit ribosomal RNA", at positions 592 to 976 of the family's 1831-position model. The record is from RNAcentral.
CAAUAGCGUAUAUUAAAGUUGUUGCAGUUAAAAAGCUCGUAGUUGGAUUUCGGAGCCGACCGGGCGGUCUGUCGAGAGACACGCACUGCUCGGUGGCUCUUCCUCUCGGAGGCCCUGGCUGCCCUUAACUGGAGCGGGCAGGGGAUUCGGGACGUUUACUUUGAAAAAAUUAGAGUGUUCAAAGCAGGCCGGUGCUUGGAUACAUUAGCAUGGAAUAAUGGAAUAGGGCUUGGGUCCUAUUUUGUUGGUUUUCGGGACCGAGGUCAUGGUUAAGAGGGACAGUUGGGGGCAUUCGUAUUCAAUUGUCAGAGGUGAAAUUUUUGGAUUUAUGGAAGACGAACAACUGCGAAAGCAUUUGCCAAGGAUGUUUUCAUUAA